AUACGUAGGGAGCAAGCGUUAUCCGGAUUUAUUGGGUGUAAAGGGUGCGUAGACGGGAAAAUAAGUUAGCUGUGAAAUCCCUCGGCUUAACUGAGGAACUGCAACUAAAACUGUUUUUCUUGAGUACUGGAGAGGAAAGUGGAAUUCCUAGUGUAGCGGUGAAAUGCGUAGAUAUCAGGAGGAACACCAGUGGCGAAGGCGACUUUCUGGACAGAAACUGACGUUGAGGCACGAAAGUGUGGGGAGCAAACAGGAUUAGAUACCCUGGUAGUCCACACUGUAAACGAUGGAUACUAGGUGUAGGCUGUGAUGAACGGUCUGUGCCGUCGCAAACGCAGUAAGUAUCCCACCUGGGGAGUACGGCCGCAAGGUUGAAACUCAAAGGAAUUGACGGGG
This 396-nucleotide ribosomal RNA is filed under the name uncultured bacterium. RNAcentral's name for it is "partial 16S ribosomal RNA". It matches the Rfam family "Bacterial small subunit ribosomal RNA", at positions 523 to 918 of the family's 1533-position model. The record is from RNAcentral.